This 495-nucleotide ribosomal RNA is filed under the name uncultured bacterium. RNAcentral describes it as "partial 16S ribosomal RNA". It matches the Rfam family "Bacterial small subunit ribosomal RNA", at positions 28 to 507 of the family's 1533-position model. The record is from RNAcentral.
GACGAACGCUGGCGGCGUGCCUAAUACAUGCAAGUAGAACGCUGAAGGAGGAGCUUGCUUCUCUGGAUGAGUUGCGAACGGGUGAGUAACGCGUAGGUAACCUGCCUGGUAGCGGGGGAUAACUAUUGGAAACGAUAGCUAAUACCGCAUAAUAGCAGUUGUUGCAUGACAACUGUUUGAAAGGUGCAAUUGCACCACUACCAGAUGGACCUGCGUUGUAUUAGCUAGUUGGUGGGGUAACGGCUCACCAAGGCGACGAUACAUAGCCGAUCUGAGAGGGUGAUCGGCCACACUGGGACUGAGACACGGCCCAGACUCCUACGGGAGGCAGCAGUAGGGAAUCUUCGGCAAUGGACGGAAGUCUGACCGAGCAACGCCGCGUGAGUGAAGAAGGUUUUCGGAUCGUAAAGCUCUGUUGUAAGAGAAGAACGAGUGUGAGAGUGGAAAGUUCACACUGUGACGGUAUCUUACCAGAAAGGGACGGCUAACUACGUG